Triticum dicoccoides is the source of this 2015-nucleotide long non-coding RNA. RefSeq lists it as uncharacterized. The transcript has 7 exons. NCBI's taxonomy places the organism in Eukaryota, Viridiplantae, Streptophyta, Magnoliopsida, Poales, Poaceae. The record is from RefSeq and is a predicted model, not a curated record.
CCUCCAUCUUCGUGACGUACGAAGCCGCACAAGAUCGCCCCCGCUGACGACCUCAUAGAGAAGACGCCGCGAUCUCUUGCGAUCUUGCUGCCUCCGGGAUCGGCGUCUCUCGCCGCCACCGACCUCCAGGAUCGGCGUCUCUCGCUACCGCGGGAUCCCGCAUCAUACCAGAGGAGACACUGUCUACGGAGUCCGGGAUCAACGCCGCGGACGUAAGGGAUCACCGUCGCCGACCUUCCAGACGAGACAUCGCCGCCGCCGACCUCCGAGGGAGACGCCGCCGCCACCUGUCGUAAACCCUAGGACAGGGCGGUUUCAACUUUCAACCCCAGGGCAGGCCGACAACUUGUCGAUUUGUUGUUCUUCCCUUAUAAGAUCCUUGAGGAUAGGUGCGGCAACUAGCGACACAUGGUGGAGCUUCUGGCGGUGGCAUUACCUGUAUCCACCUCUCCCUGGUCGCCUUUAAGAGUGUGUGCGGUCGACCGUUAAGCUUGUCAUGACGCCCUUUGAAUUUCUGGGCAAGUCGCAGCCUUUUCAGAUUCAUCAACACAAGUUACAUCAGUAGUCAAUAUGGUUCAGAUGCAUAAUAUUGCGGGGUGGAAGUUGUCGAUGUUGUUCAAUUGUAUGCUGCCCCUUGAGGGGAAGCCGUGCGUGCGCCCAGUGAGGAGAAGCGGCAAGGGCUCCAGGUGUGAGAGGCUGAAGCUCGGGGACGACGCCAUCAUGCACAAGAGGGCAUACAGGAGGUUGUCCGAAUUCAUGUUCCUCAUGCUCUGAAGGACCAAAGGGAUUUGGGUGGUCAACUCUGAAGCUUGGAAUUGUCGUUUCUUUUCUGAAAAAUCUGAACUUCUGCAUAUGUCUCAUCCCUGAACUUUGCCGCUUGACUUGAUUGUGCCCAGUUAAAAUGGAUGAGAAGGCCCGUCUAGGUGUGCUCGUGCCACAUGUGUAAGAUUGUCAGAAAUUGAUUUUUUUGUGUGUGUGGUCUCUUUACUCCCCCGCCUACCUCAAUGGCAGAUGUGAAGAACCACCUCAAUCAGAUGUGCUUUGCCGCGUCAUGCUAGAACUAUAAUUGCCGGCUGCCGUGCAAAACCACCUUUGGCGAUCAAGAUUGAUGACCUGAUGUCACAUGGCGGCUGGUUAGUCGGCGGCGGCUGGAGCCAUCAUUGACCACGACCGUGCCAGGAGCACCGGGGAAAAGGCGAGGACAUGUUGGUACUGAUGGAAUAAUGUGGAUUGGGUCGUCCUCCUCCAGAAACAUAUUACACAGUAUACUUAAGUCGAUUGAUCCUAUUUGGUAAAAAUGCCCCUCAUUUGCUUGAUUAAACUCUACCUUGGUAAAAUUAAUUGAGUUGGGAACAGUAACAUAUAUACAUCUGCUAUGUCUGGUAUCUAUCUGGUUAUAUUAAACUGACAGUUUAUUCUUCUUGCUGGAAGGAUAUGUCGUGAAAGAUGAUCCAGAUGCUAUUAAAGUUGUAACCUUUGACUGUCCAUGAUACGGUUGCUCUUGCUUCAUCUAAAUGGUACGUCUGGACUGCCAUGAGACCGCGAUUGGUGUAGGAAAUCUUAAAAGCUAUCAUAUUGGUCACAAGAACUUGCAAUACAUCAAUGCACUAUUCUUUUGAAUUUUUUAGUGACACCACAACUACCACCUCUUCACUAAAUGACAGAGGUUGCUAGCAACUGCACUUGGAAAGAUUGAAUUUAGAGACUGUACCCCAAAUUCUUCCAUACUCUAAUGAUCUUGUGUUCAAGUAAGUAAUAUCUAUCAUUGUAUAAAAUCUUCUGAAUUUAACUGUAUCUAAAAGAAGAUGUUUUUUGGUUUUCUAGGGAGCAUCAACUACAUGUUAUGUCAGGCUUGACCAUAUCAGGUGAAGGGAGUGACAAGCAAGUACUUUGUUGACAAUGAGGAGAAGACAAGCAAUAUGAAAAGAUAACCAUGUACACAACAGAGAGAAAAUGUUGACUAUUCUUCGCAUCCUACCUAUUGGUAAUGAGAGAAUAUAGCACUGUUUAUUUGA